UACGUAGGGGGCGAGCGUUGCCCGGAUUCACUGGGCGUAAAGCGCGUGUAGGCGGUCUGUUAAGUCGGAUGUGAAAUCUCCGGGCUCAACCCGGAAAUUGCAUCCGAUACUGGCAGACUUGAGGACGGUAGAGGUCGGUGGAAUACCAGGUGUACCGGUGAAAUGGGCAGAUAUCUGGUGGAACACCAGUGGCGAAGGCGGCCGACUGGGCCGAUCCUGACGCUGAGACGCGAAAGCCAGGGUAGCGAAC
This 250-nucleotide ribosomal RNA is filed under the name uncultured bacterium. Its description in RNAcentral is "partial 16S ribosomal RNA". It matches the Rfam family "Bacterial small subunit ribosomal RNA", at positions 524 to 773 of the family's 1533-position model. The record is from RNAcentral.